This is a long non-coding RNA of Neofelis nebulosa (Clouded leopard), 569 nucleotides long. RefSeq lists it as uncharacterized. The record is from RefSeq and is a predicted model, not a curated record. The transcript is spliced from 3 exons. Lineage: Eukaryota; Metazoa; Chordata; Mammalia; Carnivora; Felidae.
AGCAGCCUAGGCUGUGGCCUGGAGAGGGAACUGGAAGAGCUCUGUGAGGGACUCAUCCAUGGGGAGGACCUGUUCACCCUGGAUGAAGCCCUGAGAUGGCGGGCUGUGAAGUCACCAGUGGUCCCAGAAGAUGCAAGGUGACCACGCCCGCCCCUGGGCAAGAGGCACAAGGGAGAGACGCUCUGGACAGAAGUUUUGUUUACAACCCGCUGUAGGAGCGAAGCCACAGCACUGCGCUUGUGGGUACAGAACCCAGGCUGCCGGUCCCUUUGGGCCCUGCUGAGUUCAGUCUGGUUCAUCCCAGCACCGUAGGGACAGCCCUACAUUCCUGAGGUUCUGGGCCUGCCCCUCCUUUGCUGGUUAGAAAGUCCAGUUCAACAGGUAAGGGUAAUAAUGAAGGAUUCCCUACAACACCGGCUCCCCCAGAAACAAAUCACCAGUGGUUAGUUUUCUUGAAUUAGGCAGUGGCCUUGCUGAUGCUGCCGGUUACAAGAGGACAGGACUCUCAAUGGCGCCAGGUAAGUCACACGGGCUGAUCUCUUUUCUCAUCCACACACUCGUUCCUUUCU